RNAcentral lists this long non-coding RNA (341 nucleotides) under Solanum tuberosum (potato). RNAcentral's name for it is "long non-coding RNA (STUB_LNC000999)". The record is from RNAcentral. Lineage: Eukaryota; Viridiplantae; Streptophyta; Magnoliopsida; Solanales; Solanaceae.
CUAGACCAAACUUUGCUUUCUAGAGCUAACUGCAUUAACGGAAUGCAUUGACGGAAUUCCAGUCCAAGCACGUUUACCAAGAACGUUGACCAAGGUCAAACUUUGGCAAAACACAAAAGCUAAAACUCCUAAUCGUACACACUCCAAACAAAAGCCUCGAAAACCGCACAAAACAUCACACUAAACCAAAAAGAACCCUUCCGUAGCUGAUGGAACUGACGGAAUUUUGAUCUGACACCAGAAUCAUCGGAUGUUGACAAAAGUCAUCUCUUUCAUGCGUCAAGCCUCCAAAAUUGAAAAGCAUGCACCAAAGACUGUGUGUCCUGAUCAUACUCAUCNNN